Molecule: non-coding RNA, 11271 nt
Organism: Rattus norvegicus (Norway rat)
Lineage: Eukaryota; Metazoa; Chordata; Mammalia; Rodentia; Muridae
Source: RefSeq, a predicted model, not a curated record
GGCCUGAGUCCUCUAGGGGCACAGGUGUUGGAGGAAGUGUGAGUCAGACAUUGUGAACAUGUAAAAUCUGUGCACGGGCGGAGUCAUCUGCCAGGUCUGUGGCACAGAAUGAAACACUCAUGUGUAGCUCUGUGGUUUGGUUAUUACUCCAGAGGCCAGGCAACCUUGUCAGCUCUCCCCAAACUCCUCCCUUACGACGUGCGUGUCCACGAAUCCACCAAAACCAAGAACAGGACAAGAGUGGCUCUGCACGGUGGUUGUGUGUCAUUGCUAGUACCUGAGAGACUUUUCCUUUCCCAUAGGAUGGCCCUCGGGUCGUCACCCUGGAACAGAUUCUCCUCUGGGGAGGAUAUGUGAAUGUCCCAGGCUGGUAGUGAGUGGAGGAGCUCGAAACUGUCAAGAAAGAGUCUAGAAUUUAGACGAAAGACGAUAUCAGGACUAAGGAUGCAACUCAGUGGCAGAGUCCCCACCUGUCACGCAUGAAGUCCUGGAUUUAAUACCCAGUAUUUGGAGAGAGAAAAAAAUAACCAAAAAGAACAUCGCUCUUAAGAUAAAGAUGUGCAAGCCAGGCGUGGUAGUGCACAGUUUUCGUCCCAGCACUUGGGAGACAGAUGCAGGCAUGUUUCUGUGAGGCAAGACUGACCUGCACAAUGAGUUCCAGGCCAAUAGAUCUAUUUAGUGAGACUUUGUUGAAGAAGAGGAGGAGUGAGAGGAGGAAGAGGAGGAGGUGGAGGAGGAAGCACCACUUGUGGUUUGAAUAAAAAUGGCCCCCAUAGGCUCAUAUAUUUGCAUGUUUAAUUCCCAGCUGAUAAACUAUUUGGGAAGGAUUAGGGGGUAUGGCCUCCUUGGUUGAGGUGUGUCACUGUGGGGUGAGCUUUUGAGAUUUCAGAAGCCCAGGCCAGUUCCUCUCUCCCUGUCUCCCUGUCUCCCUGUCUCCCUGUCUCCCUGUCUCCCUGUCUCCCUGUCUCCCUGUCUCCCUGUCUCCCUGUCUCCCUGUCUCCCUGUCUCUCUGUCUCCCUGUCUCCCUGUCUCCCUGUCUCCCUGUCUCUCUGUCUCCCUGUCUCCCUGUCUCUCUGUCUCCCUGUCUCUCUGUCUCUCUGUCUCCCUGUCUCUCUGUCUCCCUGUCUCCCUGUCUCCCUGUCUCUCUGUCUCCCUGUCUCCCUGUCUACCUCUCUCUCUCUCUCUCUCUCUCUCUCUCUCCCUCUCUCCCCCCUCCCACCCCUACUGCUUCUGUAUCAGGAUGUAAAGUUCUCAGCCACUUCUCCAGCAUCCGGCAUUGUGCCAUGCCUGCCUGAGUGCCACCCCAUUUCCCACCAUGAUGAUAACGGACCAACUCUCUGAGGCUGUAAGCCAGCCCCCAGUGAAAUGCUUCCUUCUCCUCUUGGCGGUGGUGUCUCCUCACAGCACUAGAGCAGUGACUCAGACUCACCGUGCAGUGUGAAGACAGAGCAAGGCACGGUGGGAAUGGACUGAGCUGUACAGCCUCUGUGUUUGUCACUGUUCUUUCUCAGGCCCUCUCCUUGGACUUAUGUCCUACACGGAGGGCGUCCGGUAGGAGUCCUUUCAGCAAAGCUUUAUCACUGGCGAAGGUCUUCAUUUCAUACUUACACUUAUCUACACUCUAGGCUGGCGGUUUUGGGGGUUUUCAUUUCCUCCGAAGCACGACGAUUUACCUCCCAGUGCUGCUGAUGGGGGGAGAGACUUUAUAGAUAAUAUUUCCCCCUCAGUUUGUAUGUUACAGGUUUGAUGUAUGUGCGAAUUACCUUGCAUGAGAUGCUUAGAAUGAAGUCUUCAGAAAUUCCUGAACACUUGAAUUACGGUUCUGUGAUGUUGAGUGGGUGCCUCUCUCGUUUUCUCCCUUUCUGGAGAAUUUUCCAGUGUGUUAGCUUUUCCUUCCAUCCUGUAUGCCUAUCAUCCACUCUCGCCCAUUCAUUCAUCCUGCAUGUCUAUCCACUCUCGUCCAUUCAUUCAUCCUGCAUGCCUAUCCACUCUCUCCCAUCCAUUCAUCCUGCAUGUCUAUCCACUCUCUCCCAUUCAUCCUGCAUGUCUAUCCACUCUCUCCCAUCCAUUCAUCCUGCAUGUCUAUCCACUCUCUCCCAUUCAUCCUGCAUGUCUAUCCACUCUCUUCCAUUCAUUCAUCCUGCAUGUCUAUCCACUCUCUUCCAUUUCCUAUAGUUUUGUUUUAGGCCUUUAUUCUUACACCUUCAUGAGUAAUUUCUCUAGCAUUUCCGUACUGCUGUUCUCUCUUCAGCUGCGUCUCUGCUCACCCACCUGUCUACAAAGAUGUUCUUUUCAGUCAGUGUAUUCUUCAUGUAUUCUUUUUCUUGGUGGACCUUGUUCUUUUCUGAUUCGGGGAAUUCCCUCUUUCACUUCCCUGGAGCUCUGUGGCUACUGUUGGGCGUCACCUGGAUAAUGUGGUUUCAAUCGUGUGCUCAUAAUUGGAAGGCUUUCUCACCUGUAUGAAUCUUUUUCAAUUAAAUUGUAUGUGUGCUGAGGGGGUGUUCACAUGAAUCUUGAAUGACUUGUGUCGCUAAUGUUUCCAUGUAGGGAACAUCUAUGUGUUUAUUUUUUUCCAGGUAGGGCAUGGAAUAUGAAUACGGGUAAAUGCUGGCUCUGGUAAAAUCGGCAAUAAACGUUACAAAAGUGAUAUUAAUUUAAGCCACUUGGAAUUUAUAUUAUUUUCUUCCCUUGAUAGUAGAAAACGGUCUGGAUUAAAACCUCUUGACAUUACAUCUUCACUUUAUUUUUUUUCUUUUUUUCUUUUUUUCUUUUUAUUUUUCCGGAGCUGGGGACUGAACCCAAGGCCUUGCGCUUGCGAGGCAAGUGCUCUACCACUGAGCUAAAUCCCCAACCCCACAUCUUCACUUUAAAACAGAAUUGUAAGGAGUAAAUGAGAUAUGAAAACAAAACUUGUGGAAUAGUAUCUGAGAUAGAGGUCUCUGGUUCGCUUCUCAUCUGAUAACUGGAGGUGUUUCCAACUCAUCCAUGUUUCUCACUUGUGCCGAGGGAGGCCCCAUGAGGAGGCUGCUGUCUGUGCUAGGCCGGAGUUUUAACUGGAGACAGCCACACCUAGGGACCAGCAACAGGGUCCCUUCUGGGAAUCAGGGGAGGGUACUGAUGCUGGCCCAUCUGGGCUUCUCCUCGUAGUGCUCCAGUCUUAACAAUCUCGGAGACUCCAUGAUCUUGGCUCAGAUGAUAAGUGUGUGGGUUUCUGAAACCAGAUGAGUACUGGGCUCAAAUCCUGACUCUAAGUUUUAUUGACAGGAGGGGAGAAGUAGGCAAAGCAAGCAGUAAGGGUUGGGUAAUGGUCCAGGGGAAGAUGCUGUCUCAUUAACCUUCAACUGGUGUCUUUUCAGGAACGCUAAGUCCUAAGCUGACAAGAUGAGAGGGAAGAUCAGUGAUCUCCACAUUUUAUAAUAAAGGACCACCAGUCAAAACAUCUAGAGAAAACAUCUCUAACAUGAGUGUACUUAAUUAUAAAUGAUACACUGUUCAACUGUGAAUGUGCGUGCCAAUUAUAAACCAAACCUCUCUUUUUUUCAGCAGAUACAAGCUGCCCUCCCUAUGCGUGGGAAUCACUGGUCAUGGACAUUCGACCUCCUGCAGACCAAAGUACUUAAUUCCUAUACGUUUCUUCGUUAUGGCGCCCUGGCUGGCCCAGCUCUUACUAUAGAUCAGGCUGGCCUCAAACUGAAAGAAGUCUGCCUGCCUUGCUCCUAAGUGUUAGGAUUAAAGGUGUUUCCCAUCACACCUGGCCUUCAGUCACACCUGUGCGCACCUGAAGCUCACUGUGGUGAUGCAAGCUUGAGUCAAUCCAGCAGCACUCGUGAGACAGAGAUAAGGACAGAGGGAGUUCAAUGGCAUCCUCAGCUAGCUCCAUAGCGAAUUUGAGGCAAGCUGAGCUACAUGAGACUCUUAUACACACAGACACACACACACACACAUGCAUUCAUGCACACACACAUACACAUGCAUACACAUGCAUGCAUGUGCGCACACACACACAUACACGAAUACAUGAGCACACAGGCAUGCACACAUAUACUCAUGUACACAUGCAUGCAUGCACACACAUUUACAUAUGCAUGCAUACAUAUACACACAUGCAUGCACACAUGCACAUAUGCACGCAUGCACACAAUCUGUUCUGGAGGGGUACAGGCUCCUUUUCCAUGGGCCCAUUUGCUAAACAAUAUAACAACUAUCUGCAUAGAGCUCUAGCUCUUUUAGGUAUGAUAAGCGAUGGCUGAAAGCCCAUAACAGGAGCUGUGUAGUUAAACUCAGACCAUUUGUCAUUUACUCGGAAAGGAGCAGUUCAUGUCCAUAGAGGUUCUUGGGUCUCUCCUCAGGAGAUACCAGAUGACCAGAAUGAUCAUGUGUAUGGCCCAUGACUUCAGCCUCUUUCCAACGAGUGUGUACUGAGAAUCUGUGAAGGAAACUGUCACUCCAGGAGCUAUCUAGAAAAAUUGGGUGAAUUGUAGACAUACUGUUGGCCUUGUUCCUUUGACACCAUGAAAGCCAUGUCCCCUAGGCUAGCUGGAGCUCAGCGUUGGAGGUGGUUUUGCCAGUGAGGCAUCCAGGGGAAGUUAGAUUUCCUAGACAAGGCUGAGUUCUCGUCUGUAAAUGAGACUCACCAUGGAACUGUUACAGGGCUGAGAUCAAAUACCAUUGAGCUCAAUUAAUUUCACUCCCUUCUUGCUGUCUCUUCUGUGAAACGGCUGCUAGGCUGCCCUUUUCAAUAAGGCACCAGGGAGACCACAGCCAUCAAUAAGGGGCCCACUUGUGAGCUGAGACAUCUCUUUACUGCAGAAGGGGCCAGCAGGACAUUUUCAAGUGCAGCUGCUUUCCACGGAAACAGGCAGGCAGUUUGAGACCCUCGGUCCUUCUCUCUUCUUCCGUGAGAGUCAGACAACUUCAGAUGUUCAGUUUGGUUUCUUUCUGGGGUGGGCUGGCAUCUCACACAGUAACAAUUUUUAAGUGACAAUAACUCCUAGGUAAAGGGUAAAGUGAUUGAGGUGUGAUAAAAUGUAGAUGGGGCAUGUGUGUGUGUACAUGUAUGUGAGUACAUUUGAGUACAUGUGUGUACAUGUGUGCAUGUAUGCGAGUAUGUGUGUGUACCUGUGUGUGUGUGUGAGAGAGAGAGAGACAGAGACAGAGAGAUAGGUGGGGGUGGGGGGAAUAUAUAUGUUUUGUAAGGCGGUGCUGAGCUGGGGAAACGCAGGCCUGGUAGCCCUGGUGGGUCACCUUGGGCUAAUGGGGGAGGGGAUCCCAUUCAGCCAUGUUCUGGGUGGACUGAUACAUGAACAGGAAGUAGCUUUGCCCUGUGACUAUUGGCAUAGUGCCUCUCAACGGGUUGCACCUUGGAAAAGCCUAGGGAACCUUAAAAGAACCCAGUGCCUGGCACUCUACAGGUCAGUUCAAUCAGAAAGCCUAGAAUGCAGCCAAACACCAGCGGUUCAGUUCCCCUAAAACUAUGUACCUGGGUAUAUAGGCCAUUCCAUACACUUAGGGCUGCGCAGUGUUCAUCCUGAAAUAAAACAGGGAAAUUUCGCUCCCUAAAAAUGGACAACUGUGGGUUGGGGAUUUAACUCAGUGGUAGAGCGCUUGCCUAGCAAGCGCAAGGCCCUGGGUUCGGUCCCCAGCUCUGAAAAAAAGAAAAAAAAAAUGGACAACUGUGAAUAUUCUAUCUCCCUCUCAGGACUCGGCCUCUAAGAGCCACCGUUAUCACAUCCUGAAAUUCUGGCCUGUAGGACAUGAAGCACCCAGGCAGGUCUACUGGUUGCAUUUCAGAUGACCCGUGUUACAGACUGAUUUGCGUGUUACCUGGGCUCCCAUUAGCAUGGGAGUAAACUUGGAGGUAUGGUUUUUAAAUGGGUGAUUAGGUUAAGAAAAGGGCAUUAUGUGGGCCCUGAUCCUUCUGAUUGGUGGCUUCAGAAGAGAAAAUGAGCACAUGGACAGACACACAGAAGGAUGAGCGCAUAGAUGAGAAGCCAGCUGCCUCUAAACCAAAAACAGAGGCCAACUGUUGAUAGUAGAGGCUCAGCCUCUCAAAUUGCUUCUUUAUUUUAUUUUUUAUUUGUUUUAAGAGCUUCAAAAGGGACUCAGAGAUCCACCUGCCUCUGCCUCCCGAGUGCCGGGAUCAAAGGCGUGCGCCACCAUGCCAAGCUUCAGCAGCCAGAGCUGUUAACUGCUCAGUGAUCUCUUCAGCCCCAAAUUCUUUUUACACUUAUAGAUUCAUCUUGUGCGUGUAUGCCACUGUGUCUGAGAAUGUGGGGCUCAGAGGACUCACUGGUAAAGUCGGUUCUCUCCACACCCAUUCUGCAGUGUUUUCAUGGUCACUGAGGAGAUGAAACAUGGCCUAGUUCCAAGCACAACUUGCCACCAGUAGGAAAAAGCAGAGCGCUGCAUGGUAGCCUUUCCUGAAGUCUCUUCUCCAUCCCUCCUGCUCCUACUCUCUGCAUCUUUCCAAAGCUCAGGGGAAAGGAACCAUAUAAGCUUGUAGGGAGACCACAUUGACCAAACCCUGGGAGUUCAGCGGAAAGAUGAACAAGACUCUGCUUCUCUUUCUCCCCUUCACACUUGGCCCCCAGCCCAAGCCUCUGAACUUCUUUAAGAAGAAAGGGGAAAGAAAAUGGGGGAGAAGGGAAAGAAAUCAAGACGGAAAGAAAUCCCGCCUGUCCUCAUCAGAGAAAUGACAGAGAAAGGCCAGGCAAAACAGUCCAACAAGCAGCCCUGACAGGCGGUCCAUAUUCCUCCCGGUGAGUCACCUUAAAGAGCAUACUCUUCUCACCGUGACCGAGAGUUAUAGUCCCUCUAACUGCCCCGUGAAUUGUCUUCAAGGUUCAAGUGUUUGCUGUGACCUGAGAUUGAUCCCCAGAACCUGGAGUGGGAGAAGAAAACCUGCUCCUGAAGGUUGCCCUCCGACCUCCACAGGUGCGCUUUUGGCCGCUGUGUGCCCUCACACACACACCACACACCACAUAUACGCACAUGUAUACAACCAAACAAUGAUCAAUAAAACUUAAAGAGAAACCGACUCAGUAAGUACAGAAGGGCACUGUGAGCUUGAUGGUGUUUAUCUGUAGGCAAAUGCCUUGGGGUUUUUAUGACUGAGACUCCCAAAAGGCAGCCCAGCCCCCUACACUCCAGCUCCCUGCUUUAUUCUCCAAAGUAAGAGAAUGUAUGUGUGUGUGUGUGUGUAUAUAAUGUAUAUAUAAUUUAUAAAUAUAUUUUAUGAAUACAAAUAUAUUUCAUAUAAAUUUAUAAAGAUGAAUAUAUAUUUAUAUAGAGAUAAUAUAUCUGUAUGUAUAUAUACAUAAUUAUUUAGUGUGUUUGUCCACAUACACACAUUCCACAGUGCGUGCAUGCGCGCGUGUGUGCAAGUGUGUGUGUGUGUGUGUGUGUGUGUGUGUGUCUGUGUGUGUGUAGAUCAAAAGACAACUCUGCUUCAACCACAUGGUCCAGAUAUCAAACUCAGGUCAUCAAGCUUGGUGACGAGCUCCUUUACCCACUGAGCCAUCUUGCCUCCCGUGGGAUACAUUUUUUUCUCUCUUUUUUUCUUUUUUUCUUUUUCUCGGAGCUGGGAACCGAACCCAGGGCCUUGCGCUUGCUAGGCAAGCGCUCUACCACUGAGCUAAAUCCCCAACCCUGGGAUACAUUUUUAAUGCAGGGAUGGUAGCCUUUCAGUGGGCACCACAGCAAGGAAGCCCAAAAUCUUCAGAGAGAAGAUAGUAUCAGAGAGCCUGGGCCUCGGCAGUCUUGGGGGUGAUUAGCCCAAGUCACAAGCACGGAGGGGAAGGAAGGACGGCCCACCAUGCAGCCUCUGGAUUGUAAAGAGAUAGUAGACUCUCCAGGGGUGGGGGUGGGGAGUCAAUGACCCAGGAAAAAUGACAGCAGCUGACAGCCUAAAGCAUGAGCCUGGGAGAGCUGCAAAGAGGAGGGGGCAUUAAGUAAUGUUCUCAAACUGCAGGGAUGAACCAGGAGUCUUUGCACCAGGUGACUCCGACAGGGCCCCUCUGGUGGGGGCCCACUACAUUCUGGGACUUUCUCUCACAUUGACACUUCUUCUGUCCUUCUUCACAAGUCCAGGGGGUCCUGAACCCCCUCUCUCUUCCAUACCUUUUUGAUGGUUCUCUUAUUUAGAAAACAAGUGUCUAUAUUGUCAAACACGCUCCUAGCCCUGGGCUAUUGUGGUAAGGCUCUGCAGGGGAGAGCUGUGUCGUCCCGGCUACACACGUACCAAACUCACGAAAGGGAACAGGCCUGUCUGUCCCUAAGAAAUCAGGCAGUACCCUUUGAGGCCACAGAAAAGCAAUCACAAGAAGAGGCCGAUGCUCUCUGCCAGAUGCUCAAACUGUACAUUUGGGAGCAUAGGAUUCCCUGCAUGCUACCACAUCAUUGCACGGUUUGCUCCUGCAGCUGCAAUUUAAAGUUAAAUGGGCCAACUUUUCUCUAUGUGACUUCAGAGAGGUUUUCCCUGUCCCACAUUAUAUAGAACUCAAGUCUAAACCUGAGUGGGCCUAUAGUUUGGCAAGACAGGACCACAUGUUUCUUUUGGUCCCUGGACAGCAAUGAGGAAAGCAGAAAAGGCCUGGCAAUGCCACCACCUACUGUUGGCUCUGAGACUCAGAAACCACAGAAAACAGCAGGAAAAGCCACCCGUCCGCCUCACUACUCAAGAACCAAAACACCUGCUUCUCACAGGAUGCUGGCUCCCAGUUUGUAGGCUAGAUCUGCUCUAUGUCAAGUUGCAAAGCACAGUUAAUUUCUACCAUACACACUGUUAGUACCGCGACUGCUCCCCACAAGAAACAAACUCUAAGAGCCUAUAAUCUGCAGGUGGGGGAGUCUCACUGCAGUUUGUCUAAAGCAAUCUUUGUUCAGUUGCAAUGAUAUCAUGGGACGGGGGACAGGUGUCAGUUUUUAAUUCUUCUCUUACAAUAAUCAGGGCAAGAGAGUGGCUGAACUCAGAGCCGCUCACUAUAGCUUAAACCAGCAAACACAGAAAGUUUCUGGAAGCCAAGAAAGUUCUAUUACAGAAAAGGAAAAAAAGUCAACAACGCUUGGAAAAAAAAAAAAAAAAAAAAAAAAGGAUGAAUCUCCCCAGCACAUUUACCAGAGUUUUGGUUCUCCGCAGCUCGUUUUAAAGGGCCAUGAUUUGCUUGCCAAACAGGCAUAACUUGGCUUCCUUGGCCAGGCAAGAACACUGCCUCGAUAUUAAACAUUCUAAGCAAAGAACCUCUGACCUACGGGCUCUCAGCUAACAAUGAAUGACAUUCUCUGUGAGCGCACCAGAAACCCAGCUUCUUUCUUUGCCUAGUACUCUGUCACACGAGCAGAGAGCAGAGCAGAGCAGAGCAGAGCAGAGCAGAGCAGAGCAGAGCAGAGGACUGGUGACUCUGUUUACCACAGUUAAUGCUGAAAAAGAAAAGGAAAGGAGAACUGUAGCAAGAGGGUUGCUAGAGAGUCUGUGCCCAGCCUGAACUAGGCAGAAGGUCCCUGGAGAGAGGUAGAGAUGCUUCCUAGGGUUGAUGGACAUCCAGGGUGGUUAUGGUUGUAGAGACAUUCGUCACUUGAGCAUGGGUUCUAAAAGUCAUCCCCACAACUGCCACCUGCAGCCUUACCUCACACCUUGCUAAGAUAUUUUGCCCGGAGGUCAGGUAGGAGUUUGCCGAAGAAAGCAUCGAUCUUUGACUUGGCAGGAGGGAGGUGUGUGUGUGUGUGUGUGUGUGUGUGUGUGUGUGUGUGUGUGUUUGGUGGGGGUGGAUGCUGCCACCUUUUUGCUGAAGAGUCAUGCCUCUGAGUGUAGUCUCGGUUAUAUCAGCUUCCAUCAGUUUCAAGGUAUCUCCACCAGACUGCCAGUCUUCCCAAACUCUCUCCCUCGAGGCUGGCUUGGACUUGAGGUCCAGCGUGUCCUGGACUAGUCUCCUUACAUGGGUAACCCUGGAGUUUGGUUGGGACGCACCCUUAUCGUGUGGGUGGCCAGCCAAGGGCAAUUCUUCGUCCAGAACACCGUAAUCUUCAGAGUUGGGCGUGGUACGGGACUCAGUUUAGGGGUCCUCGAGUGAACAUGUAAAGAUCAAGGCUGAGUCACCGAUGCCCAGGAAACUACUAACAAAAGUCGAGAGAAACUCGAAAGAGGUCGUGCCCCGUGGAGAGGCCGCUCACCUGGGCAACAGCUAGGGGAACGCGGGAUCAAGGCAAGCAAAGGAGCUCUUACCGGAAAAAUCGGUGAGCGCGGAGGUCUCUUUGGAGCACACUAGGACCGUGCAGUAGAAGAGGCGCAGAAGCUGCCCUGGAGGCUCUACCUGCCUGCGGAGGCCGGGAUUCUGCGGUGGCUGUGGCCCGGGCGGCAGACGCGGGUGUCCGGGCAAGACCAUGAUGCGCGGCGCGGCUGGGCGCGGGCGCCGGUGCUGGGAUCGCAGGCAGGAGGAUCGCGUCACAUGGCGGGGCGAGUCCGUAGCCACCGGCUCCCAGCCCCCUGCCGCCUCCUGGUCCAGUCUGCUGGAGCUUCUUAGGCGGUCGCCACCGGGUCCCGGAUCCCAAGCCAAGGGGAGGGGGCGGAGACCUGGGGCGGGGCGAGGAUCCCAGGGAGGCCGAGGCGUAGUUUCUUCUGAAGAAAUCUCCCUGGUUCCACGCGCCUAGAGAGCCUAGAGAGUCUAGGGGGUGUCACCUCGUGCCCCGGAGCAUUGCUGAGGCCGAUCCGGGGCGCCGAGCCCCUAGCGGAGAGCGUCUCCAGCAGCGAUCCCGAUGCUGCGCAACUUGAGCGCUUUCCACACCCGGGUCUCUAGGCGGGGUGAUGGCCAAGAGCUGCUGGCCCAGCCUGCGCUGGCCCGGCGCCAACCUCACCCAGGCCGGUGGAGCGGCGCGGCCGGUGCCCGUCCGUGACGCACUUUAGAACCAACGCAGCAGCGUACAGUCCUGGCCAGAGGGGAGCGGAGAUUAUGGGAAGAUGGGGGUCCCGGAGAUAGAGGCAUUACUGUCCCUGCCACCUUCAGCGAUUGAUGUUCAGUUACCAAACACGCAGUACGUCCGAUCGCACCAAAUGGGAGACUGGGUCCUCAACUCUCUGGCCACCACACAGAGAUCUGCCUAGGUUCUAGCAGUCCGGACCUGAACGAGCUGAUAGCCUCAAACCGGUUGAUCACGAGGCUACGAGCCCGGUUCUAUUUGCCCCGAUGGAGCUUCCGGUGGGUUCUAGUUGACAGCGCCCUCGGGGAUCUGAAACUGGGCUGGAAUGAACAGCGCUUAUAAUUGAGCUUUGUUUUAAAA